Long non-coding RNA from Meleagris gallopavo (turkey), 1617 nucleotides. Lineage: Eukaryota; Metazoa; Chordata; Aves; Galliformes; Phasianidae. The record is from Ensembl.
AGAUGGAUAAAUUCGUCCAUUCCAGAUCAAUCAGGAGGAAGAAACAAGACCCUGCUUUUAUGUCAUCAGUGACAGUGACUUUUCAAGUAUGGGGAUAUGUAACUUCUGGCUAUGUGUUGUCAGAUGGCUGUUACCAAUAUACGAAGUCCAAGGUUUUCUGAUACAUUAGAAACAGACUUUUGGUCUCGUGUUAGAUUCAAACAGCAUGGCAUCUAACUCAUGUUACACAGUUAUGAUGGCCAAAACUACAGAAGCUUGGCAAUUUACUUAGGAGUUAUAGUACUUUUUGGAUGAGCAGUAAAUAUCAGAGAACUGGUUUAUCUGAUAAAACAUUAAAAUCAAGUGCUGUGUUGAAUAUACUCUUAAAAUAUCUUUUCCAUGGCUAUUUUUCCAUUAAAUAUUUCUUUGCAGUCUAAUAUUUCAAUUUAAGUGCUUAUUUUGUUAAUAUUCUGAUUUCACUUGCCCAGUCCUCCUAAGAUGAGUACAUUGUAUAAUCUAAAGUUCUUCAGCAUUCUUUAGUAUUCAAAUUGUUUGUACAGAAUUGAUUGUACAGAAUUAAUCAUAACACAGUUUUGGUUAUAGAAUAUUGAUUGCAAAUGAUUAAUUAAAGAAAAUUAGGUAAUAGCAGUUUUUGUAAUCAUUAUCAUUUGUUACUAGAAUAAGCUAAUAAGACUGUGUUGAGAAUAUAUGAACACUGCAAAGUGUUCAUGAGUGACUCGGGAAAGGACACUGUUGGUUUAUAUUUCCAUUCAGAAUACUGGCCUACUAAAUCUGAAAAAAAAUUGGAUGCAUAAUAUAUUUAUGUAUUCUGUUAUGGCUCAGUCUUCAGUCAUUCAGAGGUGGAUGAUAGAAAUGCUAAAUUUUGCGUGCAUAUUAAAGCUGAUGUCAAUGAACUUGUACCUCUGAAACAGCUAUGUCAAAUACGCAAAUGAAAAUGUGUUCAUCACAAUUACCUAAUAAAAUCUCAGAUAUAACUUUUGCAAAGACCAGAUAAAUAUGUUUUUCUUUGAAAAAAUAAAACACUUUGCUUUCUCAUCUUGUGAAAUCAUUCCCUUUGAAAUCCCUGGAAUUUUCAUUAGGGGAAAGAAAUUACAAGGGAUGCUCUGAAAGUAAUGCCUCCUUUUUUAUUAUGUUGGCCCACAGUCAGAAGUGUAUGUUGGUGGUAUAGCAGUAGAGGUUGAACCUUCCCUCCAAUAUUCCAUUACGUAUCAUUGCCAUGCAACAGAUGGCAGGAGAGGGGCAGUCUGACAAAAUGGCAUCUGACAUAGAAGUUCAUCUGAAAUAAAACAGUGUCAUUGAAUUCCUCCAUGCAGAAAAACUGGCACCCAAUGGCAUUCAUUGAUGCUUGCUGAACAUUUAUGCAGAUGAAACAGUGGAUGUGAGCACAAUGAGGUAGUGGGUGAUGUCUUUCUACAAUGGUGACAAUUAAUAGUAUGGGCUACAAAAAAACUAAUAGUGAAUAGAGAAUUGGCUCUGUCAGAUAGUGGUAUUGAGCUCCUUGUAUCUGUAGUAGUUUCCAUGGAAAUAAAUAGAAGGCAUUACUUUCAGAGCUACCUUUGUGCAUUGAUUUCUUUCACUUAGGAUUAUCAGAAAGUAGUGACUGAUAAAGGAAUAUUA